This is a long non-coding RNA of Cydia pomonella (codling moth), 613 nucleotides long. RefSeq lists it as uncharacterized. The record is from RefSeq and is a predicted model, not a curated record. The transcript has 2 exons. Lineage: Eukaryota; Metazoa; Arthropoda; Insecta; Lepidoptera; Tortricidae.
CAGCGCGCGCCGCCCGCGCCCGCCGCCGCGUCGCGCGCGGCCUCCGCCGAGCCGCGCCGCCGCCUCGCACGCCUGCUCGUCCUGUUCGUCCUGCUCCACUUCUUCGAGGAGCUCCUGCAACAACAUUACAAUGAGGAAUGUUGCCGUUUUCCCAUAUGUGAUGAUGUAAGUACGAUACGCAGCCUACGCACCACGCAUCGUACGGCGUCAACCGUAGUCCAAAUCCGAACAGAUACAAAAAUCUAUCUCACUAUUAUUGUUUUCUUAUUUUUCACAUUGUUUAUCAAUAUUUCAUUCAAAGUUUGCAUCUCUUAUUAUGACUUGACCGCUUGGUAAUCUGUCUUCAUCUUAUCACACUCCUAAUAGUCAUUUAGCUCAACAAUUAACAACUGGCGCCUGGUGAAGAAAAAGUCUUAGCUCGUUAGAAAGAUAGGUACGGUUAUUAUGAUAAAAUAACGAUUUGUAUGCGUGACUAAACCUAUGGAAACAUUACCAAGGAAAAAGGCUUAUCUAAGUUACAGCCGAUUAUUAACUGUCAUCGGGUAUUCAUUUGUUUUCCUCUAAUAGCGUGGAUAUUAUGAAUUACUGUAUUAAUUAAAUGAUUCAUAACCAA